CGGCGUGCUUAACACAUGCAAGUCCACUUAAGCACUUUACCUGAUUUCCUUCGGGGAUGAUUGUUCUGUGACUGAGUGGCGGACGGGUGAGUAACGCGUGGAUAACCUGCCUCACACAGGGGGAUAACAGUUGGAAACGGCUGCUAAUACCGCAUAAGCGCACAGCACCGCAUGGUGCAGUGUGAAAAACUCCGGUGGUGUGAGAUGGAUCCGCGUCUGAUUAGCUUGUUGGCGGGGUAACGGCCCACCAAGGCGACGAUCAGUAGCCGGCCUGAGAGGGCGACCGGCCACAUUGGGACUGAGACACGGCCCAGACUCCUACGGGAGGCAGCAGUGGGGAAUAUUGCACAAUGGGGGAAACCCUGAUGCAGCGACGCCGCGUGAGCGAUGAAGUAUUUCGGUAUGUAAAGCUCUAUCAGCAGGGAAGAUAAUGACGGUACCUGACUAAGAAGCUCCGGCUAAAUACGUGCCAGCAGCCGCGGUAAUACGUAUGGAGCAAGCGUUAUCCGGAUUUACUGGGUGUAAAGGGAGCGUAGGCGGUCCUGCAAGUCUGAUGUGAAAGGCCGGGGCUCAACCCCGGGACUGCAUUGGAAACUGUAGGACUAGAGUGUCGGAGGGGUAAGUGGAAUUCCUAGUGUAGCGGUGAAAUGCGUAGAUAUUAAGAGGAACACCAGUGGCGAAGGCGGCUUACUGGACGACUACUGACGCUGACGCUCGAAAGCGUGGGGAGCAAACAGGAU
This 740-nucleotide ribosomal RNA is filed under the name uncultured organism. RNAcentral describes it as "SSU rRNA". It matches the Rfam family "Bacterial small subunit ribosomal RNA", at positions 40 to 778 of the family's 1533-position model. The record is from RNAcentral.